UCAAACUUUGAGUUCAAAGGUAAAAAAUGGCCAUAAAUGAGCUUGUCCGGGCCAUAACUAUGUAGUUUAUUGUGAGAUCUUAAAAUCAUUUGGCUCUUUUGUUUACCAUCAUUGGACGGUGUGCCGCGAAAAAGAAUAACGUCGAUGUCUCCAAGGUCAAGGUCACACUAUUAGUUCAAAGGUCAAAAAUGGCAAUAAAUGAUCUUGUCUGGGCCAUAACUAUGCCAUUCAUUGUUAGAUUUAAAAAUGACUCUGUACAUGUACAUUAAUUUUGUUCACAGUCAUUGGACGGCGUGUCAUGUGAAAGAACUUGAGAGUUCAAAGGUCAAAAUGGCUAUAAAUGAUAAUGGCAUAAUAAUUUUUGAAAAUCGCCAAAAAUUAGAUUCUCUUGUUUUGUGAAGACAGGAUGAAAAAUAGUCUGUGUCAAUGCGGCAAGUGGGGGUAUACGUCAUGUCUGUGACAAGGCUCUAGUUAUACAUAUACAGUAUUUGGGGACUGUUUUAAGUGCUUGUUUCAGAAUUCACAUCUCUUCAUUUUACUGUGGUAAUCAUUUGUUAGGUUAUGUUUACUAUAUUUACAAUAAAUUGUGUUUAACAAUGCCACACAAUAAAAGUUUCUUUUGUAACAAAAUUCAUUUAGGACAUGCUUCAUCUUUUAUUUAUGAAUAAAUAGUAUUCAUUAUGCCCCCCUUCGAAGAAGAGGGGGUAUAUUGCUUUGCUCAUUUCGGUCUGUCGGUCGGUCCGUCCACCAGGUGGUUGUCAGACGAUAACUCAAGAACGCUUGGGCCUAGGAUCAUGAAACUUCAUAGGUACAUUGAUCAUGACUUGCAGAUGACCCCUAUUGAUUUUGAGGUCACUAGGUCAAAGGUCAAGGUCAUGGUGACCCGAAAUAGUAAAAUGGUUUCCGGAUGAUAACUCAAGAACGCAUACGCCUAGGAUCAUGAAACUUCAUGGGUAGAUUGAUCAUGACUCGCAGAUGACCCCUAUUGAUUUUGAGGUCACUAGGUCAAAGGUCAAGGUGACCCGAAAUAGUAAAAUGAUUUUUCGGAUGAUAACUCAAGAACGCAUAUGCCUAGGAUCAUGAAACUUUAUAGGUAGAUUGAUCAUGACUCGCAGAUGACCCCUAUUGAUUUUCAGGUCACUAGGUCAAAGGUCAAGGUGACCCGAAAUAGUAAAAUGAUUUUCGGAUGAUAACUCAAGAACGCAUAUGCCUAGGAUCAUGAAAUUUCAUAGGUAGAUUCAUCACGACUCGCAGAUGACCCCUAUUGAUUUUGAGGUCACAAGGUCAAAGGUCAAGGUCACGGUGACCCGAAAUAGUAAAAUGAUUUUCGGAUGAUAAAUCAAGAACGCUUUUGCCUAGGAUCAGGACACUUCAUAGGUACAUUGAUCGUGACUUGCAGAUGACCCCUAUUGAUUUUCAGGUCACUAGGUCAAAGGUCAAGGUCACAGUGACAUAAGUCGUAUUCACACAAUGGCUGCCAGUACAAUGGACAGCCCAUAUGGGGGGCAUGCAUGUUUUACAAACAGCCCUUGUUGUGGAUUGUGUUAAUGUGGUGCUAUAAUUGGUAACUGAAAGCAACAUUAGUAUUGUAUGAUAUAAAAUCAAACUAUUAGAAAUAUGAAGUAUUAUAUGUAUGAUAGCAAAUCUUUCCAAACGUUCACUUAACUUUUAAUUAUUAAAAACAAUUGUGCAAGACUUUGUUGUCAUUUGUUGUUAUAUAUGAGUGCAAAUAUUUUUUGUUUAAUACUAGUAUACGAUAGAUUAAUGUUGUCACGUUGAAGUAAAGUAUCGAAUAAAAUAGCAAACCUUA
Long non-coding RNA from Dreissena polymorpha, 1810 nucleotides. RefSeq lists it as uncharacterized. The record is from RefSeq and is a predicted model, not a curated record. The transcript is spliced from 2 exons. Lineage: Eukaryota; Metazoa; Mollusca; Bivalvia; Myida; Dreissenidae.